UAGGGAAUAUUGGUCAAUGGACGCAAGUCUGAACCAGCUAUGCCGCGUGAGGGAUGAAGGCCUUCGGGUUGUAAACCUCUUUCAGUAGGGAAGAAGCGAAAGUGACGGUACCUACAGAAGAAGCACCGGCUAACUAUGUGCCAGCAGCCGCGGUAAUAA
RNAcentral lists this ribosomal RNA (159 nucleotides) under uncultured Actinomycetes bacterium. RNAcentral describes it as "uncultured actinobacterium partial 16S ribosomal RNA". It matches the Rfam family "Bacterial small subunit ribosomal RNA", at positions 355 to 526 of the family's 1533-position model. Lineage: Bacteria; Bacillati; Actinomycetota; Actinomycetes. The record is from RNAcentral.